AGAGCUUGAUCCUGGCUCAGGAUGAACGCUGGCGGCGUGCUUAACACAUGCAAGUCGAACGGGAAUUACUUUAUUGAAACUUCGGUGGAUUUAAUUUAAUUCUAGUGGCGGACGGGUGAGUAACGCGUGGGUGACCUGCCCCAUACCGGGGGAUAACAGCUGGAAACGGCUGCUAAUACCGCAUAAGCGCACAGAGCUGCAUGGCUCGGUGUGAAAAACUCCGGUGGUAUGGGAUGGGCCCGCGUCUGAUUAGGCAGUUGGCGGGGUAACGGCCCACCAAACCGACGAUCAGUAGCCGGCCUGAGAGGGCGACCGGCCACAUUGGGACUGAGACACGGCCCAAACUCCUACGGGAGGCAGCAGUGGGGAAUAUUGCACAAUGGGGGAAACCCUGAUGCAGCGACGCCGCGUGGAGGAAGAAGGUCUUCGGAUUGUAAACUCCUGUUGUUGAGGAAGAUAAUGACGGUACUCAACAAGGAAGUGACGGCUAACUACGUGCCAGCAGCCGCGGUAAAACGUAGGUCACAAGCGUUGUCCGGAAUUACUGGGUGUAAAGGGAGCGCAGGCGGGCGAUCAAGUUGGAAGUGAAAUCCAUGGGCUCAACCCAUGAACUGCUUUCAAAACUGGUCGUCUUGAGUAGUGCAGAGGUAGGCGGAAUUCCCGGUGUAGCGGUGGAAUGCGUAGAUAUCGGGAGGAACACCAGUGGCGAAGGCGGCCUACUGGGCACCAACUGACGCUGAGGCUCGAAAGUGUGGGUAGCAAACAGGAUUAGAUACCCUGGUAGUCCACACCGUAAACGAUGAUUACUAGGUGUUGGGAGAUUGACCCUCUCAGUGCCGCAGUUAACACAAUAAGUAAUCCACCUGGGGAGUACGACCGCAAGGUUGAAACUCAAAGGAAUUGACGGGGGCCCGCACAAGCAGUGGAGUAUGUGGUUUAAUUCGACGCAACGCGAAGAACCUUACCAAGUCUUGACAUCCCUUGACGAUGCUGGAAACAGUAUUUCUCUUCGGAGCAAGGAGACAGGUGGUGCAUGGUUGUCGUCAGCUCGUGUCGUGAGAUGUUGGGUUAGGUCCCGCAACGAGCGCAACCCUUAUGGUCAGUUACUACGCAAGAGGACUCUGGCCAGACUGCCGUUGACAAAACGGAGGAAGGUGGGGAUGACGUCAAAUCAUCAUGCCCUUUAUGACUUGGGCUACACACGUACUACAAUGGCGUUAAACAAAGAGAAGCAAGACCGCAAGGUGGAGCAAAACUCAGAAACAACGUCCCAGUUCGGACUGCAGGCUGCAACUCGCCUGCACGAAGUCGGAAUUGCUAGUAAUCGUGGAUCAGCAUGCCACGGUGAAUACGUUCCCGGGCCUUGUACACACCGCCCGUCACACCAUGAGAGCCGGGGGGACCCGAAGUCGGUAGUCUAACCGCAAGGAGGACGCCGCCGAAGGUAAAACUGGUGAUUGGGGUGAAGUCGUAACAAGGU
This 1480-nucleotide ribosomal RNA is filed under the name metagenome. RNAcentral's name for it is "bacterial SSU rRNA". It matches the Rfam family "Bacterial small subunit ribosomal RNA". The record is from RNAcentral.